This 103-nucleotide small nuclear RNA is filed under the name Moschus moschiferus (Siberian musk deer). Lineage: Eukaryota; Metazoa; Chordata; Mammalia; Artiodactyla; Moschidae. The record is from RNAcentral.
UUGCUUCGGCAGCAAAUAUACUAAAAUUGGAACGAUACAGAGAAGAUUAGCAUGGCCCCUGCGCAAGGAUGACACGCACAUUCGUGAAGCAUUCCAUAUUUUU